CAGCUUCCCCUGUGAGAAGGACACAUAUAACAAUAAGAAAUUAAGGGUUCGGGAAGGAGAGGGGCCACCCUGUGCUCACCCCCACACAGCCCUGCAGGAAAACCCAGUGAACGGUGCCCAGGUGCCUGGCUGACUCCUGGGCCGGGAGGGGACAUGGAGGGACAGUGGCCAUCAGGCUCUUUGUGGACACUGGGGAUUAACUACUGCUCGUUCUCAGCUCACUGGUGUCCAGCCCAUCAAUAACCUCAUCAAUAACCUAACUUUGGUCAAUUAGGUUGGAGUCCGAAGGUGACUGAUUUGCGGCAAGGUUUUCUCUCUUCCUCUGUAAAGUGGAGUCCUUCAUCAUUCAUCGCAAGUAGACAACUCGCUUCCUAAUGCCUCUGCAUUAAGGAGCCAGGCGCUGCAGCUCUUUGGUACGUGACCUCAAAUAGAUUCAUGCGUCCUUCUGCUGACACGCUCCUGGGAAAUCCAGAAACUCUAGAGAAGCUUGUUUGCCAAACCUUGCUUUGGGCGGUGGAGACAGAAUAUCAUGUCCCAGAUCAGCGUGUGGUGACUGUGGAGGCAUUUACACACAGCACACU
Molecule: long non-coding RNA, 581 nt
Filed under: Homo sapiens (human)
Lineage: Eukaryota; Metazoa; Chordata; Mammalia; Primates; Hominidae
Description: non-protein coding LINC01018:4
Source: RNAcentral